RNAcentral lists this ribosomal RNA (301 nucleotides) under uncultured bacterium. RNAcentral's name for it is "partial 16S ribosomal RNA". It matches the Rfam family "Bacterial small subunit ribosomal RNA", at positions 509 to 809 of the family's 1533-position model. The record is from RNAcentral.
CAGCAGCCACGGUAAUACGAAGGGUGCAAGCGUUAAUCGGAAUUACUGGGCGUAAAGCGUGCGUAGGCGGUGAGUUAAGUCUGCUGUGAAAUCCCCGGGCUCAACCUGGGAAUGGCAGUGGAUACUGGCUCGCUAGAGUGUGUCAGAGGAUGGUGGAAUUCCCGGUGUAGCGGUGAAAUGCGUAGAGAUCGGGAGGAACAUCAGUGGCGAAGGCGGCCAUCUGGGACAACACUGACGCUGAGGCACGAAAGCGUGGGGAGCAAACAGGAUUAGAUACCCCCGUAGUCCCUGUCUCUUAUAA